Molecule: unclassified non-coding RNA, 345 nt
Filed under: soil metagenome
Description: partial contains 5.8S ribosomal RNA, internal transcribed spacer 2, and large subunit ribosomal RNA
Rfam family: 5.8S ribosomal RNA (bases 1-120)
Source: RNAcentral
GAUGAAGAACGUAGUGAAAUGCGAUAAGUAAUGUGAAUUGCAGAACUCAGUGAAUCAUCGAGUCUUUGAACGCUCAUUGCGCCCCCUGGUAUUCCGGGGGGCAUGCCUGUCCGAGCGUCAUUGCUGCCCUCAAGCACGGCUUGUGUGUUGGGCCUCCGUCCUCCUCCCGGGGGACGGGCCCGAAAGGCAGCGGCGGCACCGCGUCCGGUCCUCGAGCGUAUGGGGCUUCGUCACCCGCUCUUGUAGGCCCGGCCGGCGCUUGCCGACACAUCAAUCUUUUUUCCAGGUUGACCUCGGAUCAGGUAGGGAUACCCGCUGAACUUAAGCAUAUCAAUAAGCGGAGGA